ACUCGCUUCGGCGGUGGAUAUACUAAAAUUGGAACAAUACAGAGAAGAUCAACAUGGCCCCUGCGCAAGUAUGGCAAUCAAAAUCGUGAAGCGUUCCACAUUAUU
Molecule: small nuclear RNA, 105 nt
Organism: Schistocerca gregaria
Lineage: Eukaryota; Metazoa; Arthropoda; Insecta; Orthoptera; Acrididae
Source: RefSeq, a predicted model, not a curated record